UUAUCUGCAGAUAAAGUUGAGUUGAAUUUACCUGAGUUUAAAUGUCACACACACACAUAUAUAAUAUGAGUGUACAAAUAUAUACAUUCAGCAAAUUUGAUCAACUGAAUAUCUGGAAUAGAAGUAAAACAUGCUUUUAAAAAUGUAAUUUCUUGUUGCGGUCACUUAAGGAUUUUGGAAGAAAUACUACUUACUUUCUCUUAACAUGAUUAGGAAUGUUUACUUUGAAAACAUAUUUAUGGUUCUGUGAAGCAGUAUUAUUUUCUCACAUAAUCUGUUAGCUAGCAUUAAAAAGAUCGUUUGGCUGGCCUAUUUCGUUGGUCAUAUGUGUUAGAAAAUGUGUUAGAGCUACUUGGGUCUGUUAAGAUGAACUUGUUUUUGAAUUUGUUAUUGAAAAGAACUUAGAUAAGCAGAUAUGAAUUAAGGUACAAAGUAUUACUUGAGUACUUUAGGAAAACAAAUGUAUAUUUAAAGGUUGGGUCACUGUAUGUCAAACGAAACACAGAUGGGCAGUCCUUAGGACCUAUGUCCCUUAUGUUAAAAUAUCACAUGAAACAAGAACUAGGGUGUGAGACUCAACAUCUCACAAACAUUUUCAGAUCCUUAAUAAGCAAUAUAGAAUUAAACACUUUUACUGAGUUAAGCAUUUUCUGUGGUCAUAUUUGUGACUCUAGAAAAAAAGUCUGAAGAAACAGAAGGAAAGUUUAGACUGUUUUUCUAAUAUGACGAAAUAGUUUUAAAUUGGCAAAGUUUUCUACCAUUAUACAUAGUAAAUGUUUGUAAGUUUGACCCCUAGCAAAGUACCAAGAAGUUCAUAUGGCAUUUAACCCCUCUACAUAUGGAGAAUAAAAUUAGAAGAAUAAUACUUACCUGGCAGGGGAGAGAUACCAUGAUCACGAAGGUGGUUUUCCCAGGGCGAGGCUUAUCCAUUGCACUCCAGAUGUGCUGACCCCUGCGAUUUCCCCAAAUGUGGGAAACUCGACCGCAUAAUUUGUGGUAAUGGGGGACUGCGUUCACGCUUUCCCCUGGUCUUUAAAAAAAAAUUAGAAGAAUAAAAUGGUGGACAGCUGA
This is a long non-coding RNA of Sapajus apella (tufted capuchin), 1071 nucleotides long. RefSeq lists it as uncharacterized. The transcript is spliced from 3 exons. The record is from RefSeq and is a predicted model, not a curated record. Lineage: Eukaryota; Metazoa; Chordata; Mammalia; Primates; Cebidae.